UUUUUCUUUUUGAUAAUAGCUAUCCUGAGGUGAGAUGAUACUUCAUUGCAGUUUUGAUCUGCGUUUCCCUUGAUUAAGUGAUGUCCAACAUUUUUCAUAUAUUUUUUGGUCAUUUGUGUGUCUUCUUUUGAGAAAUACCCAGAUCUUUUUCCCACUUUUAAUUGCAUUGUUCAUUUUUUUUGCUGUUGAGACAUCUGAGUUCCUUGUAUACGCUGGAUAUGAAUUCUUUGUUGAAUGAAUAGUUUGCAAAUAUUUUAUCCCAUUCUGCAGGUUGUCUUUUCAUUCCAUUGUUUCCUUUGCUGUGCAGAAGCUUUUUAGUUUGAUAUAAUACCAUUUGUUUAGUUUUUGCUUUUGUUGUCUGUGCUUCUGAGGUCUUAUUCAUAAAAUAUUUCCCUAGACCAAUAUUCUGAAACAUUUCCUCUACUUUGUCUUCUGGUAGUUUUAUAGUUUCAGGUCCUAUAUUUAGGUCUUUAAUCCAUUUUGAGUUGAUUUUUUUACAGGGUGAAAGAUGAGACUCUAGUUUCAUUCUUCGACAUACUGAUAUCAUUUUCUCAGCAGCAUUUGUUGAAGAGACUGCUCUGUCCCCAAAAAGUGUUCUUGGCACGUUUGUCAAAAAUUAGUUGGCUGUAGAUAUGUGAUUAAUUCCCGGUUUCUCUAUUCUGUUGCAUUCAUUUAUGUGUCUGUUUUUAUGCCAGUACGAGGCUGUUUUGGUUACUACAGCUUUGUACUAUAUUGUGAAGUUAGGUAGUGUGAUCCCUCUGGCUUUGUUCUUUCUGCUCAGGAUUGCUUUGGCUAUUUGAGGUCUUGUGUGUCUCCCUACAAAUUUUAAGACAUUUUUCUAUUUCUGUGAAGGUUGUCACUGAUGUUCUGAUAGGGAUAGCACCGAAUCUGUAGAUUGCCUUAGGUAGUACGGUCAUUUUACAAUGUUAAUUCUGAUCCAUGAGCAUGUAAUGUCUUUCCAUUCGUUUGAAUCCUCUUCAAUUUAUUUCAUCAGUAUUUUGUAGUUUUCCUCAUGAUGUCUUUCACCUCCUCAAAUUUAUUCCUCAAUAUUUACAUAUUUUUGGUAGCAAUUUAAAUGGGACUUCCUUCUUGACAUCCUUUUUGGCUAGUUUGUUGUUCAUAUAUAGAAAUGCUACUAAUUGUUGUAUUCCUAUUCCUAGUUUGUUGACUGCUUUAUUUAUUAUGGAAGGGUGCUAAAUUUUGUCAAAUGCUUUUUCCUGCAUCAAUUGACAUAAUUGCACACUUUCCUCCUUUCAUUUGUUAUAUGGUAUAUAAUAUUGAUUUUCCAAUAUUAAACCACUCUUGCAUCCCAGGAAUAAAUCCCACUUGAUCAUGGUGCAUAUUCCUGUAAUGUGCUGCUGAAUUGGUUUGUUAGUAGUUUUUGAGGAUUUUUGCAUCAAUAUUCCUAAGAGAUAUUGGUCUGUUGUCUUUUCCUGUAGCGUUUUUGUCCGGCUUUGAUGUCAGGUUAAGGCUGGCCUCAUAGGAUGAGUCAGAAAGUGUUACCUUAUCUUGGCCAGGCAUGGUGGCUCACACCUGUAAUCCCAGUGCUCGGGAGGCUGUGGCAUGAGAAUCACUUGAACCCAGGAGGCAGAGGUUGCAGUGACCCGAGAUCGCACCACUGGACUCCAGCCUGGGAGACAGAGAAAGACCAUCUCUCAAAAAUAAAUAAAAAAUAAAACCCAGGGGGUGGGCACCUUUCUGGGGUCUCUCAGGUGCAGUGCACACGGGACAUGACACACAGGCCUCCACCCACCCUGGGUAGCUUUCCUGAGUCUUUCAGAUGGCUUGUCCUGAAUCCUAGGCUUCUGUUGUCUCUUGAUGUCUAACUGUAAGUAACAAAUUCACUGCAUUUAACUUGCUCUGUGUGUGUUCCAUCUAACCAGACUUCUGAAAGUAACCAAGGUGCAAUGAAACGGCUUUGACAUAUAGGUCUAUCCAGAUUUUCCCUUUCUUCAUGAGUUAGUCCUAGUCUUAGUAUGUUUAUGUUGCUAGUAUUUUGUCCAUUUCAUUUAGUUUAUCCAAUUUGUUGGCAUACACUUAUGCAAGUGUUUGGUUGAAGAACCAACUUUUUGUUUCAUUGAUUUUCU
RNAcentral lists this long non-coding RNA (2087 nucleotides) under Macaca fascicularis (crab-eating macaque). RNAcentral's name for it is "lncRNA (ENSMFAG00000063284.1)". The record is from RNAcentral. Lineage: Eukaryota; Metazoa; Chordata; Mammalia; Primates; Cercopithecidae.